RNAcentral lists this ribosomal RNA (465 nucleotides) under uncultured bacterium. Its description in RNAcentral is "partial 16S ribosomal RNA". It matches the Rfam family "Bacterial small subunit ribosomal RNA", at positions 28 to 507 of the family's 1533-position model. The record is from RNAcentral.
GAUGAACGCUGGCGGCGUGCUUAACACAUGCAAGUCGAACGGAAAGGCUCCUGCUUGCCGGGGUACUCGAGUGGCGAACGGGUGAGUAACACGUGGGUGAUCCGCCCUGCACUUCGGGAUAAGCCUGGGAAACUGGGUCUAAUACCGGAUAGGACCACAUUUUGGAUGGUGUGGUGGAAAGUUUUUCGGUGUGGGAUGAGCUCGCGGCCUAUCAGCUUGUUGGUGGGGUAAUGGCCUACCAAGGCGUCGACGGGUAGCCGGCCUGAGAGGGUGUACGGCCACAUUGGGACUGAGAUACGGCCCAGACUCCUACGGGAGGCAGCAGUGGGGAAUAUUGCACAAUGGGCGCAAGCCUGAUGCAGCGACGCCGCGUGGGGGAUGACGGCCUUCGGGUUGUAAACUCCUUUCGCUAGGGACGAAGCGCAAGUGACGGUACCUGGAGAAGAAGCACCGGCUAACUACGUG